AGCCGCUGUGAAAAACCAAGUGCAGCAAAUGAACUCGGAGCUUGACAUCAUUCCGGGGGGCUUGACGAAGGAACUCCAACCGCUGGACAUCGGUGUAAACAGGGCGUUCAAAGUGAAGUUGCGAGCGGCGUGAGAGCGAUGGAUGACAUCAUUUCUGAGGAGCCGCACGGCAACGAGACUGACUCUGACAAUGACGAGAGGGAACCUGACGUGUUUGAAGGAGAACUUGCCCCGCUGUUCAGUUGGGAUACAGAAGAUGAGGACUUUGAUGGAUUUGUGGAUGAGGAUUGAUCGAAAAUAACGAAUCUCCUGCAAAAACGGAUGUCAAAGAUCUCUUAUAGCAGCGGUUCUCAACUGGUUUGGCUGCAGGAUCAACGCUGACCCGUGGUGUAGCAUCUGGAGGAAGAGUCGCUACCGAUGCAGGGUCGCGGGGACAUGCUGGAGCCUAUCCCAGCUGACUUCGGGCGACAGGCAGGGAACACCUGAACUGGUCGCCAGCCAAUCGCAGGGCACACAUAUGGACAAACAACCAUUCACACUCACAUUCAUACCUAUGGACAAUUUAGAGUCACCAAUGAACCUCACCUGCAUGUUUUUGGAAUGUGGGAGGAAGCCGGAGUACCUGGAGAAAACCCACGCACACACGGGGAGAACAUGCAAACUCCACACAGAGAUGCCCAGGGGAGAAUCGAACUCAGGUCUUCCCGAUCUCCUCGGAGACUGUGUUGGCCAACGUGCUAACCACUAGACCACCGUGCGGCCCACAUAAUAUCAGUGAAUGUUAAUAUUAUGUUAUUGUUGUGAAUGUCACUUUCUUGGCUUUGGUGCGAGUUAAUGGUUGCAUGAGCUUGAAUCUGGUUCCCGGAACGUAGUCUGGCAGUGACAUCGCAACCAAGAUUGUGUCGGUUCAGAAAACUAACUGGGGCCGUGUCGAAAUCACCACUUCACUCUUAUUUCCAUCCAUCCAUCCAUUUGCCGUUCCAGCGUUUGCCAUUCAUUCAUAUAAUAGACAUUUUACAAAUUUUUUCUAUUCUCAUUGUAAAAAAGGGACUAAGGGACACAGAAUAAUUCAGUUUUUAAAGGGAACCCCAGUUGUGCCAUGUAUUUCAUACUUCAUCUUUUUUUUUAUGCGAGUGUGAGCUUUAUUUCAUCAUGUCACCAUCGUGCGUCGCUGAAAAACCUUGUGUGAAACAGUGGGUAGGAAAACACACUCUUUUCCGCAUUGAAUUUUUCUGUCAAUAUCAAUGUCUGCGGUGAAAGAUGGGUACGCAUAUUUGACCCCUGCUGAUUGACGUUGACUUUUUUCUGCUCAACAACCUUUAUAAAUGACACCCCAGAUCUGCCAGAGAAUAAAAAGAUGUAGCAGGAGGGAUCAGUGUUGCCAACUUGUGGCCUGAUCUAAAUUAUAAAACGUAUAUUCUUGACAACGUAUUUUGUGUGUUUGCCUUCAAGAAUAUGCAGAAUAUAUGCAGAUUAUUGAGGAGCAAACCUGUUUGCAGUCUGUGUUUUUGCGUUUGGAAGGCAUUUGCAAACUGGCACAGCGUUACACACAGCUGGUCAUUGUGGUGAAAAGGAGGCAUGCAAUGACAGAGUUUUCCGUGCUCUUGUCAACACAUUUGGACUGUCAGGAAUAAAUAGAUACAUACACAUAUAUAUAUAUAUAUAUAUAUAUAUAUACUGUAUAUAUAUAUACACACACACACA
Molecule: long non-coding RNA, 1704 nt
Organism: Dunckerocampus dactyliophorus (ringed pipefish)
Lineage: Eukaryota; Metazoa; Chordata; Actinopteri; Syngnathiformes; Syngnathidae
Exons: 3
Source: RefSeq, a predicted model, not a curated record